RNAcentral lists this small nuclear RNA (103 nucleotides) under Cervus elaphus hippelaphus. The record is from RNAcentral. Lineage: Eukaryota; Metazoa; Chordata; Mammalia; Artiodactyla; Cervidae.
GUGCUGGCUACAGCACAGACUAAAAUUAGAAUGAUAUAGAGAAGAUGGACUUGGCCCCCCAUGCAAGGACAAUACACAAGCUGGAGAACUGUCCCAUAUUCUU